Molecule: ribosomal RNA, 322 nt
Filed under: Ophiognomonia sassafras
Lineage: Eukaryota; Fungi; Ascomycota; Sordariomycetes; Diaporthales; Gnomoniaceae
Description: eukaryotic LSU rRNA
Rfam family: Eukaryotic large subunit ribosomal RNA
Source: RNAcentral
CUUCGGCCCGAGUUGUAAUUUGCAGAGGAUGUUUAUGGUGCGGUACCUUCCGAGUUCCCUGGAACGGGACGCCACAGAGGGUGAGAGCCCCGUCUGGUUGGAUACCAAACCUGUGUUAAACUCCUUCAACGAGUCGAGUAGUUUGGGAAUGCUGCUCUAAAUGGGAGGUAAAUCUCUUCUAAAGCUAAAUAUUGGCCAGAGACCGAUAGCGCACAAGUAGAGUGAUCGAAAGAUGAAAAGCACCUUGAAAAGGGGGUUAAACAGUACGUGAAAUUGUUGAAAGGGAAGCGUUUAUGACCAGACUUGUGCCGUGUGGCUCAUC